This 438-nucleotide long non-coding RNA is filed under the name Helianthus annuus (common sunflower). RNAcentral describes it as "hypothetical non coding rna". Lineage: Eukaryota; Viridiplantae; Streptophyta; Magnoliopsida; Asterales; Asteraceae. The record is from RNAcentral.
UGUAAAGCGAGACCCCAGUUGUUGAGAGCCUGAAAUGUAACACAACGUAUUAAUGUACACGAAGCUAUGAUGCAUAGCUAAAUCAUUUCAUAGUUACCUGGGGACUGUUCCAACUUAGUUGAAGAGCUUUUUCGUAAUUCUUUGUUGCCUGCAAGAUUAAGAGAUGAAGCGUAAUGAUUGUUGGUACUUUGCGUCCCGGAUCAAUGGUGGGAUGGUUAUGGAUAUCGUUUGAGUGAAUGGAUUGGUUGAGAUUUGGAGAGGCAUUGAUGUUUUCGGGUGAUGAUGGGAUGGCAGGCUCUUGGAGUGGAUGAAAUUUGGAAUCUGGAUUGUGUUUUGUAUGUGAUUCUGAUGGAUUUUUGUUUGUAGGCAUUGUUGAAUCUGUGAAUAUGAUAUGUGUGUGAUGUUUCUUCGUUUAUGGCAUUCAGUGGGAUACUGGAU